This 73-nucleotide transfer RNA is filed under the name Neurospora pannonica FGSC 7221. Its description in RNAcentral is "tRNA-Ser (AGA) (tRNA-Ser-AGA-1-1)". It matches the Rfam family "tRNA". Rfam says of the family: Transfer RNA (tRNA) molecules are approximately 80 nucleotides in length. Their secondary structure includes four short double-helical elements and three loops (D, anti-codon, and T loops). Further hydrogen bonds mediate the characteristic L-shaped molecular structure. tRNAs have two regions of fundamental functional importance: the anti-codon, which is responsible for specific mRNA codon recognition, and the 3' end, to which the tRNAs corresponding amino acid is attached (by aminoacyl-tRNA synthetases). tRNAs cope with the degeneracy of the genetic code in two manners: having more than one tRNA (with a specific anti-codon) for a particular amino acid; and 'wobble' base-pairing, i.e. permitting non-standard base-pairing at the 3rd anti-codon position. Lineage: Eukaryota; Fungi; Ascomycota; Sordariomycetes; Sordariales; Sordariaceae. The record is from RNAcentral.
GCGCGGUUGGCGUAGUGGUUAACGCGUUCGCUCAGAAAGUGAGAGAACCCGGGUUCGAAUCCCGGACCGCGCA